This 492-nucleotide ribosomal RNA is filed under the name uncultured bacterium. RNAcentral describes it as "bacterial SSU rRNA". It matches the Rfam family "Bacterial small subunit ribosomal RNA", at positions 27 to 507 of the family's 1533-position model. The record is from RNAcentral.
CGAACUAACGCUGGCGGCGUGCCUAACACAUGCAAGUCGAACGAGAAAGUUGGCUUCGGCCGAUGAGUAAAGUGGCGCACGGGUGAGUAACGCGUGGAUAAUCUGCCCUUUAGUUUGGAAUAACGUACCGAAAGGUGCGCUAAUACCGGAUAAUACUGAAUGACUACUGUCGUUUAGUCAAAGAAGGCUUCUGUUUACAUGCUUUUGCUGAAGGAUGAGUCCGCGUACCAUUAGCUAGUUGGUAGGGUAAUGGCCUACCAAGGCGACGAUGGUUAGCUGGUCUGAGAGGAUGAUCAGCCACACUGGAACUGAGACACGGUCCAGACUCCUACGGGAGGCAGCAGUGAGGAAUAUUGCGCAAUGGGGGCAACCCUGACGCAGCAACGCCGCGUGAGUGAGGAAGGUUUUCGGAUUGUAAACUUCUAUCAGCAGGGAAGAAAGGGCUUAUAGCCUAUGACGGUACCUGACUAAGAAGCCCCGGCUAACUACGUG